UACAGAGGUCUCAAGCGUUGUUCGGAUUCAUUGGGCGUAAAGGGUGCGUAGGCGGCGCGGUAAGUCGGGUGUGAAAUCUCGGAGCUUAACUCCGAAACUGCAUUCGAUACUGCCGUGCUUGAGGACUGGAGAGGAGACUGGAAUUUACGGUGUAGCGGUGAAAUGCGUAGAGAUCGGGAGGAACACCCGUGGCGAAGGCGGCCACCUGGGCCGACCCUGACGCUGAGGCGCGAAGGCGUGGGGAGCGAACGGG
RNAcentral lists this ribosomal RNA (253 nucleotides) under uncultured bacterium. Its description in RNAcentral is "partial 16S ribosomal RNA". It matches the Rfam family "Bacterial small subunit ribosomal RNA", at positions 524 to 776 of the family's 1533-position model. The record is from RNAcentral.